GUAACGCGUAGGUAACCUGCCUUGUAGCGGGGGAGUAACUAUUGGAAACGAUAGCUAAUACCGCAUAACAAUGGAUGACACAUGUCAUUUAUUUGUAAAGGGGCAAUUGCUCCACUACAAGAUGGACCUGCGUUGUAUUAGCUAGUAGGUGAGGUAAUGGCUCACCUAGGCGACGAUACAUAGCCGACCUGAGAGGGUGAUUGGCCACACUGGGACUGAGACACGGCCCAAACUCCUACGGGAGGCAGCAUG
RNAcentral lists this ribosomal RNA (252 nucleotides) under uncultured bacterium. Its description in RNAcentral is "partial 16S ribosomal RNA". It matches the Rfam family "Bacterial small subunit ribosomal RNA", at positions 110 to 353 of the family's 1533-position model. The record is from RNAcentral.